AUUGAACGCUGGCGGCAGGCCUAACACAUGCAAGUCGAGCGGAUGAAGGGAGCUUGCUCCUGGAUUCAGCGGCGGACGGGUGAGUAAUGCCUAGGAAUCUGCCUGUUAGUGGGGGAUAACGUCCGGAAACGGGCGCUAAUACCGCAUACGUCCUGAGUGAGAAAGUGGGGGAUCUUCGGCCCUCACGCUAUCAGAUGCGCCUAGGUCGGAUUAGCUAGUUGGUGGGGUAAAGGCCUACCAAGGCGACGAUCCGUAACUGGUCUGAGAGGAUGAUCAGUCACACUGGAACUGAGACACGGUCCAGACUCCUACGGGAGGCAGCAGUGGGGAAUAUUGGACAAUGGGCGAAAGCCUGAUCCAGCCAUGCCGCGUGUGUGAAGAAGGUCUUCGGAUUGUAAAGCACUUUAAGUUGGGAGGAAGGGCAGUAAGUUAAUACCUUGCUGUUUUGACGUUACCAACAGAAUAAGCACCGGCUAACUUCGUG
RNAcentral lists this ribosomal RNA (484 nucleotides) under uncultured bacterium. RNAcentral's name for it is "partial 16S ribosomal RNA". It matches the Rfam family "Bacterial small subunit ribosomal RNA", at positions 30 to 507 of the family's 1533-position model. The record is from RNAcentral.